Molecule: ribosomal RNA, 506 nt
Filed under: uncultured bacterium
Lineage: Bacteria
Description: bacterial SSU rRNA
Rfam family: Bacterial small subunit ribosomal RNA
Source: RNAcentral
GAUGAACGCUAGCUACAGGCUUAACACAUGCAAGUCGAGGGGCAGCAUGAACUUAGCUUGCUAAGUUUGAUGGCGACCAGCGCACGGGUGAGUAACACGUAUCCAACCUUCCGUUUACUCAGGGAUAGCCUUUCGAAAGAAAGAUUAAUACCUGAUAGUAUGGUGAGAUUGCAUGAUAGCACCAUUAAAGAUUUAUUGGUAAACGAUGGGGAUGCGUUCCAUUAGGUAGUAGGCGGGGUAACGGCCCACCAAACCAACGAUGGAUAGGGGUUCUGAGAGGAAGGUCCCCCCACAUUGGAACUGAGACACGGUCCAAACUCCUACGGGAGGCAGCAGUGAGGAAUAUUGGUCAAAUGGACGAGAGUCUGAACCAGCCAAGUAGCGUGAAGGAUGACUGCCCUAUGGGUUGUAAACUUCUUUUAUACGGGAAUAAAGUUAGCCACGUGUGGCUUUUUGUAUGUACCGUAUGAAUAAGGAUCGGCUAACUCCGUGCCAGCAGCCGCGGU